Long non-coding RNA from Cannabis sativa, 483 nucleotides. RefSeq lists it as uncharacterized. NCBI's taxonomy places the organism in Eukaryota, Viridiplantae, Streptophyta, Magnoliopsida, Rosales, Cannabaceae. The transcript is spliced from 2 exons. The record is from RefSeq and is a predicted model, not a curated record.
GACAAGUUUGAUUUUAGAAAUUAACAAUUAAUUUAGACUAAAUGUUGUUACUUGUUUUACUAAUAUUAUACAUAUUUAGGACAAAGACCACAACAUCAAAAGAAGAAUGUGCUUUAGUUUUUUUACUGUAUGAAGUUAUUAUAUAACCUUUUCAUCUUACUAUAUUUGUGUUAAUGAUAGUUUAUCUUUUAGUUCAAAAAAAAAAAAGAAACUUUGAGUUUGAGCUUCCUUAAAUGAAGUAGGAAGAGCAUGAUGAAGAAAAAUAAAGUUGAAGUUAGACGCUCCCUAUAGUAACGAGGAGAUCAAUGUCGUACGGGAUGAGUGGGCCGAAUUUGUGAAGCCUUUGAUUAUAGAUUAAGUACUUAAGGUUACUACACUUUUGUUAUAAUACAUGAGUAACAAGUUUUAUGAUUAUUGUUAUCUUUUGCAUAUGUCAUUAGUUUAUAUUUAGUUUACGAUAUAUAUGGAAUUUAAGUUUUAGAA